UUUAGGGCUAGAAUAAAGUAGUGGGUCAGGCUUUUGUAUGGGCUUUAAGAUAUUUAUUGGGCCUCAAGUUUCUAUAGGUCUUUAAAUAGUUAUCAGUGAGUUAGGGUUAGGAUUAUCGUCGUAGUAUGAUUCUGGACAGCUUCUGCUGUAGGCCUCGCAAGAGGAGUUCGGGACAGCGUUCUCGCUGUAGGCCUCGCAAGAGGAGGGUUACUCUUUGAUUUCCUUGUUCAGUUUUUAUUUCAAUUUAUUUCUCUUUCAACUCUCCUGUUUUCGGUUUAUCUCAAACCCUUCACUCUAUCAUAUUGGCUCAUGGUUGUUUGCUAGUUUGUCACCAAGUGAAGUCAACUCAUGUUUUAUGAUGUUAAAACUUGGAAUUUAGAGUGUUUUUUUUUUUUUUUGCAUUUAAUGAUGACUUUUGGUAAAAUAUAAUUUGGUUUAUUGUAUACUUGAUUGAUUAUGAUUUUAUUAUGUUUUCAGGCUCAUUGUUAACCUCAAAGAGUAUUAGAUUUGAUUUAAAUAAAAAGUUGAGAUACCUAAAACAAGUUCAGUGCACCGAAAAACCAAUAAACCGAACUUCAAAAUUCGGUUAUGGCUUGUGCAGUUUCAAGAUGGAAGUUCGGUUGGUUCAGUUUUUGGUCACAAAAUUUUGGUUUUUCACCCCUAACUGGAAUGCCUGAAGACUUUCCUAGCUUCUACAGUACUUAUUGUUUAGUAAAGGAUACAGAGUCAUUACUUUAGUACAACUAACUAAGGAAUGCAUCUAGCACAUCUAACUGAUCUUAAACUAUUUGAUUUCAUAAUAUAGUGUGUUAAAUAUCUCUUUCCUUGCAAGUAUAAGAAGAUAAAAGGUGAGUAAGAAUUAUUGGAGACCAACUGUUGUUACAUAUUUGGUUCUUUCUCGACCUCUACACAUAUAGUGGCACGCCAUUGUGACUCCCCAUUCUCCAAAGGAAAAAAAAGCCGAAGAACAUAGAGAAUCAUUCCCCAAUUUAGCACUUGAAACAGGUAGAACAUCAAGUGACAUUAACCUAAAGUGGACAAUAUAAACAGUCACAUUUAAAUAAAAAUAUAUGGAUUCAGAUAAACGCCCAUCAUAUGUUUUGAAUUCAAUUUUUAAUGAUUUAGCAUGUCCAUCCUGCAUAAUGUUUUGCUAUUUGUUCCAGUAAGUGGUAUUAUAAAUAACUAAAACUGAUAUACAUUAAAAAAACACAUAAAUCAGCAUCUCAUAGUGAAGUAUUGCAAGGUAAAAGAGAGUAUGGUAUUUGAAUUAUCUAAAAGGAAUGAAAAAGAGCAUGUGCCCUUCUUCAAAUUUUAUGUCUUUAAAAUAAGAGCAGAGUCAAAACAGAAAUAGUGCAGGCAAUAAGACAAUGGCCUUUCAGAAACUGAAUGACAUCAAAAAAGAAAUAGUGCAGGCAAUAAGAUAAUGGCCUUUCAGAAACUGAAUGACGUAGAGAGCAGUGGGCUUGCAGUAAUUCAAGUUAGAUGCUUUCAGCAAACACUUGAACCCACUGAGAUAUUUUAUACGACGGGAGUAUCAUAAAAACAGAUUGGAUGUAGAGCCAGUUCUCAUGAGAACCAUCAGUUCAACGUUUUAAUAUACAAUAAUAAAAAGCAUAUGCUAAACAGUUAUUCAUAAAGCAUAUUGGUUUUCUCUCAAAAAAUAAAGCAUAUUGGUUAUCUAUUUAUCUAUGUUCUCCAGUAUGUUUAUUUAAGAAAUGGCUUCUUUUUAGCAUUGACAGCCAGCACAAGAUCAUCAGUUCAUCACUUACCAACUGGUCAAACAUGAAGCAUAGAUUCUUGUAUGUUACACAGUUUCCACUAGCAUCAUUAAGUGUUUGCAACGAUUAAGAUGAGGGGAUUUAAAAGAGCUGUCAAUUCCAACCCCAUAUGUCUAUAAUGUUACUUCUAACAAAGAUUCCUCCAGCCAUAGCCUACCCAACUAGCAAUCCUUUCCAAAAGUGAUAGACAUAAACAAAGUUUCUAUGAACAAGCACAUCGUUCACAAAACUUUGUAUUUAGGUCCCUAUAACUCUAUCAACUCUCUUGGCAUACCUAAUCUUUUCAAACAAUUUAAUGACCAUUUUGCACAGUUACUCUGGCAUGUUCUAGUGCAACUUUAUUCUUCUAAAGAUCAUAGAACUCAUCAUUCAACCACGACCACAUCUCAAGCCCCUUCCCACUUGGCAACCCGCACACCAAAUUUACUUCCUUUCACACAAAAAGGCUGCUCAAUAUCCAUGUACUACUGGCUAAAUUGGGCAAGAUGGUAGCUCUUUUCAACCAUAAAAAGUCAUUCUCUAGCGACUAAAGAUAGAAAUAAAUAAAAUUGAGCAUCUUCAUCUUACUUUCACCCAAUCUAAAUAUUCCAACCAAGUAUUCAAAUCUGAUAAUAGCCUGUCCAGUGGUUCCAUACAUAGAGUGCUAAACUUAGGAAUGAAUAAAAUAGAAUACCUUGAUCCUAUUUUUUUUUCUUACCCAACCUAUACGUUUACAAAGGGCAUUAUCAAAUCUAAGCAUAGCCUACUGUUCAAUACUAUACGAAGAUAUAUAAAAUGCAUGCUCCUAAAUUCCCACAAAU
RNAcentral lists this long non-coding RNA (2578 nucleotides) under Salvia miltiorrhiza (redroot sage). RNAcentral's name for it is "long non-coding RNA (SMIL_LNC012518)". Lineage: Eukaryota; Viridiplantae; Streptophyta; Magnoliopsida; Lamiales; Lamiaceae. The record is from RNAcentral.